AGAGUUUGAUCAUGGCUCAGGAUGAACGCUAGCGGCAGGCUUAAUACAUGCAAGUCGAGGGGCAGCAUAGGUAGCAAUACUUGAUGGCGACCGGCAAACGGGUGCGGAACACGUACAGAACCUUCCUUCGAGCGGGGAAUAGCCCGGAGAAAUCCGGAUUAAUACCCCAUAGUAAAUUAGAAAGGCAUCUUUUUAAUUUUAAAGAUUUAUCACUUGAAGAUGGCUGUGCGCCUGAUUAGGUAGUUGGCGGGGUAACGGCCCACCAAGCCUUCGAUCAGUAACUGGUGUGAGAGCACGACCAGUCACACGGGCACUGAGACACGGGCCCGACUCCUACGGGAGGCAGCAGUAAGGAAUAUUGGUCAAUGGACGCAAGUCUGAACCAGCCAUGCCGCGUGGAGGAUGAAGGUCCUCUGGAUUGUAAACUUCUUUUAUUUGGGAAGAAAUGCAUUUUUUCUAAAGUGCUUGACGGUACCAGAUGAAUAAGCACCGGCUAACUCCGUGCCAGCAGCCGCGGUAAUACGGAGGGUGCAAGCGUUAUCCGGAUUUACUGGGUUUAAAGGGUGCGUAGGCGGACAUGUAAGUCCGUGGUGAAAUCUCCGAGCUUAACUCGGAAACUGCCAUGGAUACUAUAUGUCUUGAAUGUUGUGGAGGUUAGCGGAAUAUGUCAUGUAGCGGUGAAAUGCAUAGAUAUGACAUAGAACACCAAUUGCGAAGGCAGCUGGCUACACAAAUAUUGACGCUGAGGCACGAAAGCGUGGGGAUCAAACAGGAUUAGAUACCCUAGUAGUCC
Molecule: ribosomal RNA, 793 nt
Filed under: uncultured bacterium
Lineage: Bacteria
Description: bacterial SSU rRNA
Rfam family: Bacterial small subunit ribosomal RNA
Source: RNAcentral